RNAcentral lists this ribosomal RNA (30 nucleotides) under Yamadazyma membranifaciens. Its description in RNAcentral is "[Candida] membranifaciens partial 26S ribosomal RNA". The record is from RNAcentral. Lineage: Eukaryota; Fungi; Ascomycota; Pichiomycetes; Serinales; Debaryomycetaceae.
UGACCUCAAAUCAGGUACGAUAACCGCUGA